RNAcentral lists this transfer RNA (72 nucleotides) under Heterocephalus glaber (naked mole-rat). It matches the Rfam family "tRNA". Rfam says of the family: Transfer RNA (tRNA) molecules are approximately 80 nucleotides in length. Their secondary structure includes four short double-helical elements and three loops (D, anti-codon, and T loops). Lineage: Eukaryota; Metazoa; Chordata; Mammalia; Rodentia; Bathyergidae. The record is from Rfam by way of RNAcentral.
GGAGGUGUAGCUCAGAGGCAGAGCACUUGUCUAGUAUAAAUGAGGCCCUGGGUUGGAUCCCCAGCACCAUCA